GUGUCCAGUAAAGCAAUGGAUAGCGUAUUGGACUUCUAAUCCAAAGGUGGUGGGUUCGAAUCCUACCUGAGAUA
Non-coding RNA from Trichonephila inaurata madagascariensis, 74 nucleotides. The record is from the annotation of a GenBank genome assembly. Lineage: Eukaryota; Metazoa; Arthropoda; Arachnida; Araneae; Nephilidae.